UUUCAAAUGAUGAAUUCACCAAACUGAAUUUGUGUAAAAUUCUCUAUUCUUGAGAAUUUAACGCAUAAUUUACACAGGAUGUUUCCAGAGGCAUUUGUCUGAUUUAUUA
Phlebotomus papatasi is the source of this 109-nucleotide non-coding RNA. Lineage: Eukaryota; Metazoa; Arthropoda; Insecta; Diptera; Psychodidae. The record is from Rfam.